RNAcentral lists this ribosomal RNA (252 nucleotides) under uncultured bacterium. RNAcentral describes it as "partial 16S ribosomal RNA". It matches the Rfam family "Bacterial small subunit ribosomal RNA", at positions 524 to 776 of the family's 1533-position model. The record is from RNAcentral.
UACGUAGGGGGCUAGCGUUAUCCGGAAUUACUGGGCGUAAAGGGUGCGUAGGUGGUUUCUUAAGUCAGAGGUGAAAGGCUACGGCUCAACCGUAGUAAGCCUUUGAAACUGGGGAACUUGAGUGCAGGAGAGGAGAGUGGAACUCCUAGUGCAGCGGUGAAAUGCGUAGAUAUUAGGAGGAACACCAGUUGCGAAGGCGGCUCUCUGGACUGUAACUGACACUGAGGCACGAAAGCGUGGGGAGCAAACAGG